RNAcentral lists this ribosomal RNA (468 nucleotides) under uncultured bacterium. Its description in RNAcentral is "partial 16S ribosomal RNA". It matches the Rfam family "Bacterial small subunit ribosomal RNA", at positions 28 to 507 of the family's 1533-position model. The record is from RNAcentral.
GACGAACGCUGGCGGCGUGCUUAACACAUGCAAGUCGAACGGAAAGGCCCUGCUUUUGUGGGGUGCUCGAGUGGCGAACGGGUGCGUAACACGUGAGUAACCUGCCCUUGACUUUGGUAUAACUUCAGGAAACUGGGGCUAAUACCGGAUCGGAUCUCCUGCUGCAUGGUGGGGGUUGGAACGUUUCGGCGGUUGGGGUUGGACUCGCGGCUUAUCAGCUUGUUGGUGGGGUAGUGGCUUACCCAGGCUUUGACGGGUAGCCGGCCUGAGAGGGUGACCGGCCACAUUGGGACUGAGAGACGGCCCAGACUCCUACGGGAGGCAGCAGGGGGGAAUAUGGCACAAUGGGAGGAAGCCUGAUGCAGCAACGCCGCGUGCGGGAUGACGGCCUUCGGGUUGUAAACCGCUUUCGCCUGUGACGAAGCGUGAGUGACGGUAAUGGGUAAAGAAGCACCGGCUAACUACGUG